AUGGCACUACAUUUAAGUUGCAACUUAAAUAAACCCGUCGCCUGCAGGUUCAAAACAAUUUCACAAAUAAUUGAAAGCAUGUGGACCAAACCAGUUCCAUUUCAGGCUACAAACCAGUUCGCAAAGCAAUUCAACCCGCCCUGCAUUUACAUCAGAAAACCGGUGCAGAUUUUAAUAAAAAAAGAAGAUGAAAUUUGA
Vicia faba (fava bean) is the source of this 198-nucleotide non-coding RNA. The record is from the annotation of a GenBank genome assembly. NCBI's taxonomy places the organism in Eukaryota, Viridiplantae, Streptophyta, Magnoliopsida, Fabales, Fabaceae.